GAAACUGCGAAUGGCUCAUUAAAACAGUUAUCGUUUAUUUGGCGGUCAUUCAUUACAUGGAUAACCGUGGUAAUUCUAGAGCUAAUACAUGCGCCCAGACCCGACUUCGUGGAAGGGUUGUGUUUAUUAAGUACAAAACCAACCCACGCUCUGCCUGGUCUUUUGGUGAUUCAUGAUAACCGAACGAAUCAUAUAGCAGCCUCUGGCGAUCAACCAUUCAUGUUUCUGACCUAUCAACUUCCGACGGUAGGGUAUUGGCCUACCGUGGCAAUGACGGGUAACGGAGAAUAAUGGUUCGAUUCCGGAGAAGGAGCCUGAUAAACGGCUACCACAUCUAACGAAGGCUUGCUGGCGGGCAAAUUACUCAAUCCUGACACAGGGAGGUAGUGACAACAAAUAACAAUACUGUGCAUCUCCGUCUUGCUAUUGUAAUGAGUAAAAGUUAAAUCCCUUUAUCAGUAUCCAUUGUAGGGCAAGUCUGG
This 482-nucleotide ribosomal RNA is filed under the name uncultured eukaryote. RNAcentral's name for it is "bacterial SSU rRNA". It matches the Rfam family "Eukaryotic small subunit ribosomal RNA", at positions 83 to 564 of the family's 1831-position model. The record is from RNAcentral.